Molecule: ribosomal RNA, 521 nt
Filed under: uncultured bacterium
Lineage: Bacteria
Description: bacterial SSU rRNA
Rfam family: Bacterial small subunit ribosomal RNA
Source: RNAcentral
AAUAGAUACCCGGGUAGUCCACGCCGUAAACGAUGAGUGCUAAGUGUUGGAGGGUUUCCGCCCUUCAGUGCUGCAGCUAACGCAUUAAGCACUCCGCCUGGGGAGUACGGUCGCAAGACUGAAACUCAAAGGAAUUGACGGGGGCCCGCACAAGCGGUGGAGCAUGUGGUUUAAUUCGAAGCAACGCGAAGAACCUUACCAGGUCUUGACAUCUCCUGACCGCCCUGGAGACAGGGUCUUCCCUUCGGGGACAGGAUGACAGGUGGUGCAUGGUUGUCGUCAGCUCGUGUCGUGAGAUGUUGGGUUAAGUCCCGCAACGAGCGCAACCCUUGGUUCUAGUUGCCAGCAUUCAGUUGGGCACUCUAGAGCGACUGCCGGCGACAAGUCGGAGGAAGGUGGGGAUGACGUCAAAUCAUCAUGCCCCUUAUGACCUGGGCUACACACGUGCUACAAUGGAUGGUACAAAGGGCAGCGAAGCGGCGACGCAUGAGCGAAUCCCAGAAAACCAUUCUCAGUUACGG